GAAAAGCUUUGCAUCAAUGUCAGUAGAGUAAAAAUGUCUGCAAUACGUGUGGGAAGGGAACACUGGCCUUAUCUCUCGUUGGACAAAGAACUUCUUUCCUCUGUUCCCGUUCCUCUGCUUGACUCCUUACACUAAGCUUGACCGCUUAGGGGUCCAUGGAAAACAGCCUGUUUGUAGAAUCUUCCUACUGAUACCUCUUUCUUACCAGCUGAAGGGCAUGUUGACCUUCAAAUCACAGCUGUGACCAGCACGUUUAGAAGUGUGGCUGGAGCUGGCAACUGAAGGUUAACUUUAUGUGAACAUUGUGAUGCUAUAAAUAUAGAUUGGCUUUUUAUUUCCAUACUGGAGAGAGUACUGAACGUAUUAGCCGGUACUAAUUAUGAGGCAUUACAUUUGUCCCCAGUUAUAAAAGGUAUUUAAAAUUCACUUUUUAGUAUGCUAACCACAAGUGAGAUAAUUACUGAGCCUAUUGCUGCUAUUAGACCAUAAUGUAGAAAUCACUUAAUUUUCUAGCUUUUAGCAGAUGGGUCUCAUCUCACAGAGUUGGUGGGGUUCUUCCUUGUGCUGAACUGCCCAUGUAAUACCACUCUGUCCUGCUCCCUAACAUGUCAUUUUGUCCUAGUGCAGCAUCAAAAGCCUGUUGAAAAAUCCACCUGAGUUAGCUAGCAGCUCUGCUGGGUAUUUUUAGUAGAAAGCAAGAUAACUGAGACUAGUGACAGUGGGAAUUCUGCUGCUACGGAAGUCUUCUGAUCCUGGGGUUUUUAUUUGGGAGCAUUCCUGACUAUGCUAAUUGACAGUGGAAUUUGUCUGACCUUACUUUAGAUGCUUCCGAUCUCGAUUUGCCACUGGAAAACCAGGGGUGUUUGGGGGGGUAGCGUGGAACCCCCCUGCGACAGGAGGGGUAACUCAAAGGGGGUGCAAAGCAUUCCAAUGAACCUGAGCCCCGAGCCAAGGGCGCCGGGGACCCCGACCCCUCCGUGUCCUGAGGAAGCCCCCUGGGACGGGGAAGGAGUCACCGGGGUGGCCGGGGUCCCCCCUGCCCUGCCAUAAAGCCAAAGGAACUCCCGAGCCUGGGAAAACACGCACAGUUGGCUCCGUUCUGAGCAGGAUGUGUGUGUGUCCCAGCCACUGGCCAGGGGGUCCCACGGGCUGGGCCCGGCUGGCCAAACCUCUCCUCAAACCAAAAUCGAGUGUACCCGGGAUUCAGUCUGAGCCUGUGUGUGGAACAGGGCGAGAUGAAGAGAGCUGUGCGUGUUUUCACAGCCCGAAGGCAUACACGACUGCGCCACCACUGCUGACGGGUAACAGGCUCCAUGCAUAAAGAAAUACCAUCAAAGCAAAAGGCCUAGUCCCAAAUCCAAAAAAAAAAAAGAAGUUGCCAUUAAGAACCACGAUGCAUCACACUGCUAAGGUUUUGCCUCAUGCAUAAAAAUGGUCGCGCUGAUUGGCAGUUGCUAAUUAUAAUACUACACCGUCACACAGAACAAUUAGCUGUUCAGACCAAGUAGCACAAAUGUAGAAAAUAAUCUUUUUUUUUCUUUUUUUUUUUUUUCCAACAGAGCAAAUUAACACAGAUUGUUUCUUCAGCAAAAUAUGAAACUGUAAACUUUGGGCUCAUUCUGCAACUUUUCCCCAAUCCAUAAUAAACAAAAAAACCCAACAGGAAGAAAGACUGAC
This 1677-nucleotide long non-coding RNA is filed under the name Calidris pugnax (ruff). RNAcentral describes it as "lncRNA (ENSCPUG00000012853.1)". Lineage: Eukaryota; Metazoa; Chordata; Aves; Charadriiformes; Scolopacidae. The record is from RNAcentral.